RNAcentral lists this ribosomal RNA (497 nucleotides) under uncultured bacterium. RNAcentral's name for it is "partial 16S ribosomal RNA". It matches the Rfam family "Bacterial small subunit ribosomal RNA", at positions 28 to 507 of the family's 1533-position model. The record is from RNAcentral.
GAUGAACGCUGGCGGCGUGCCUAACACAUGCAAGUCGAACGGACAGACGCUGAGCUUGUGCCUUUGACGUUAGCGGCGGGCGGGUGAGUAACGCGUGGAUCACCUACUUCUCUUUCGGGGAUAACUUCGGAAAACCGGAUAUAAUACCAGAUAAUAUGUUGUACCGCUGGGUUCAUUAGUGAAUGACGGUUUUGCUGUCUCUAAUAGAUGGAUCCGGGCCGGAUUAGCUAGUUGGUAGGGUAACGGCCUACCAAGGCUACGAUGCGUAGCCGAACUGAGAGGAUGAUCGGCCACACUGGAACUGAAACACGGUCCAGACUCCUACGGGAGGCAGCAGUAGGGAAUAUUCGGCAAUGGGCGAAAGCCUGACGCAGCCACGCCGCGUGAGUGAAGAAGGCCUUCGGAUCGUAAAGCUCUGUUAUUGGGGAAGAACAGAUGUGGAAUUAAACAUGGACGUCUUGACGGUACCUAAUCAAAAAGCCACGGCUAACUACGUG